AGAAUCAACGCUGGCGGCGUGCCUAACACAUGCAAGUCGAACGAGAAAGUGGAGCAAUCCAUGAGUAAAGUGGCGCACGGGUGAGUAACACGUGACUAACCUACCCUUGAGUGGGGGAUAACCUCGGGAAACCGGGGCUAAUACCGCAUAAUAUCGAGAGAUCAAAGGAGCAAUUCGCUUAAGGAGGGGGUCGCGGCUGAUUAGCUAGUUGGUAGGGUAAUGGCCUACCAAGGCUAUGAUCAGUAUCCGGCCUGAGAGGGCGCACGGACACACUGGAACUGAAACACGGUCCAGACUCCUACGGGAGGCAGCAGUGGGGAAUUUUGCGCAAUGGGGGAAACCCUGACGCAGCAACGCCGCGUGGAGGAUGAAGUCCCCUGGGACGUAAACUCCUUUCGAUCGGGACGAUAAUGACGGUACCGGAAGAAGAAGCCCCGGCUAACUUCGCGCCAGCAGCCGC
Molecule: ribosomal RNA, 460 nt
Filed under: uncultured bacterium
Lineage: Bacteria
Description: SSU rRNA
Rfam family: Bacterial small subunit ribosomal RNA
Source: RNAcentral